Molecule: ribosomal RNA, 253 nt
Filed under: uncultured bacterium
Lineage: Bacteria
Description: partial 16S ribosomal RNA
Rfam family: Bacterial small subunit ribosomal RNA
Source: RNAcentral
GACGUAGGGUGCGAGCGUUGUCCGGAUUUAUUGGGCGUAAAGAGCUCGUAGGCGGCUCGUCGCGUCGACCGUGAAAACCCGCGGCUUAACUGCGGGCUUGCGGUUGAUACGGGCGGGCUAGAGUUCGGUAGGGGAGACUGGAAUUCCUGGUGUAGCGGUGAAAUGCGCAGAUAUCAGGAGGAACACCGGUGGCGAAGGCGGAUCUCUGGGCCUUUCCUGACGCUCAGGUGCGAAAGCUAGGGGAGCGAACAGG